CUGCCUUGCCAGCCUCUGUUCUGCACACUUGAGGGUAAAUAUUUAGGACAGAAUUGUGGUGUAGAGCAUGCACAACUUGAUGGUGUUGCUAUUGUCACUAGUUAUCAUUAAAUUGUCCUGACAUGACAUUAAAACGUUAUUUUAAGUGUGUUUUGACUGUGUGUGUGUGCGCGCGUGUGUGUGCACACCUUGUGCCUGAGAGGCCAGAAGAGGGCAUUGGAUCCCCUGGAGCUGGAGUUCCAGAAGGUGCUGGGAACCUAACAUAGGUUCUCUACAAGGGUCGCAAGUACAUGUAACUGCUCAGCCAUCUCUCUAGCAUCCCCCUCCCUUUUUGAGACAUUGUCUCACUAUGUCAUCUUGGCUGGCCCGGAACUUUCUACACUAGCUUGGUCUCAAACUCAUAGAGAUCCUCCUGUCUCUGUCUCCCAAGUGCAGGACAGACAGCUCAGAAAGUGAAGUGCUAGCCGUACAAGAACAGGGACCUGAGUCUCAUCCCCAGAACCCAGGUUAAGAAAAGCUAGGUGUGGUGGUCUGUGCUUGUAAUCCCAGGCCUGAGGGGGCAGAGACAGGCAGAUCCCUGGGGCCCAUUGGACAGCUAGUUUAGCCUAAAUGGUGGGGAGUUCUAGACCAAAGAGCGAUCCUGUCUUUCAAGACUGCUUUGCCCACCUGGGAUUUUUGUGGACUUUGGGAGAUCUAAUUCUUCUGCUUGAGCACCAAGAGCUUCAACUGCUGAGCCAUGUCCCCAGCCCCGAGUGCAUUUCCGAAUUGCAAUGGAUUUGUCACGGUGCUCAAGGUAGGUGCUGCUUUAACAGGAAGACAGGAAACAAACGGUUGUACAUCUGAAAUGUUAGCAUGGGGGGUGGUGAGGAAAGAGGAUAGGAAUUUGAGGCCAAACUGAGCUACACAGCAAGACCAUCUAAAUAAAUAUAUAAAUAAAGGGGAGAAGAACCAGGCAAGAAACAAGAAUUCUGAAAGGGAAAGCAAGGUGUCUUCUAACAACAGUUUAGGGUCUAAUUGCCCCAUCCUUUCCAGAUAGAUCUCAGAUGCACAAAGUUCAGGAGCACAUGCGUUCCUCUGGGGGGAGCAAUGCUCUCCUCCUCCUCAUGCCCUGUUGGAGCUCCUCUCCUUUCCUUUUCAUGAAUCACAAGCAUGCCUGCCACUUCCAGGUCUUUUUUUUGUUUGUUUUAUUGUUUUUUGUUUUUCGAGACAGGGUUUCUCUGUGGCUUUGGAGCCUGUCCUGAAACUAGCUCUUGUAGGCCAGGCUGGUCUCGAACUCACAGAGAUCCGCCUGCCUCUGUCUCCCGAGUGCUGGGAUUAAAGGCGUGCGCCACCAAUGCCCGGCUCACUUCCAGGUCUUUAUUGAGCCUUUACAAUUCUGGGUCUUCAAUUUUAAACUUCAUGAAAACUAGGAAAUACUAACCUUGAGGUUAAGUGCUGUCAUCGUUAUUCCUCACCUUUGGCAUUCACUGACUCACUGUUUAAUGUGCAGCACAAAUGAGCAAAUCCCCCUGGGGGAGGCCACAUGUCCAGUUACUUCUCUGGCCGAUGUGGAAUGUUCUCCAGUGUCCACAGGCUUUUCCAAAGCCCCUUCCUGAGGCUGACAACCUUUUGGAGGCUUUCCUCAAUUUAUCAGGAAACAAUGUUGAAUCACCAGAAUUCAUCAGGGUUGAGGGGAGACCUGUUGCCAUGCUGUCUAAAUCUACCUGGCUCUCGCUCGCCCUUUUUGUGUUUGAAUCCAUCCUGCCGUUCCUCACCGCCAUGCCUCUGUGUAGCCAGCCAUCAACCCAUCUUCAGAGUGAGCAUGCCCUCUAUAGGCUUCCCCUGACCCAGACCCCCAGUGAGACUGGAUGCCCACACUUGGCCUCCCUGCUCUGGAGCACACUUCCAGUUAUCACAAUCUACAUUUCAGCUGAAUUGUGUGGAACAAACGCUUGAUUCAGAGGAAUGCCACUGCAGGUCUCUGCUUGACCAAAAAGGGAGAAAGAGAGUCACAUUUCAAACAGGGUCGGCCGGUCCCCUUGAGCACACACACCCCACCCUAGGAGGGCAAGAUGGGAGUUCUGAAUGUAUCUUAACCCUGUGUUGUUUUGUAUCGGCAUCCCCUGACCUCUCUGGAAGUGAUACUGGUGUUUAAAGGUCUGUGUUUCACGAGGAAGGAAAUGUCCCAGAUACAGCAAGGCAUUGGGAUGCUGGGGACAAAAAACAAAACCAAAGCAAGCAAGCAAAACAUAAGAAGGAAAAGAAAGCAAAGCCAAGUAUAGUCACUCACAAAUCUACCUAUUUCUAAAGCUGUAGGAAUGGGGUUUAGGUCCUUCUACUAUAACCAACACAGAUGAUCUAGUUAAGUAGCUAACUUGUCCAGACUUUAGAUCACACACUGCGUCUGCCCAUCUUACCCUGAGGCUUAAUGAAUAAUCAGUACAAGGUGGGCUAUGAGUAGCGCUUUGCAUUACCCCAGCUUACACAGCUUACACAGGCCCUCUUUCUCUGUACCAAUGGAUUCCAUCCUCAGAAGACAUUGAGGUGACAGGGUGAGGAGGGCUUCCAGAAGACCAGCCUAUUCAGAGCUCCGGCUGCAGGUCACUCAGCCCGGCCCAAGCCUAUAGCAACCUCACUGUCUUGGAGGCUCAAGCAGGAGAGGGAAGUAGGAAGGGAACGCGAGGGAGGGGAGCGAGAGGAGGAGUGGAGAGGGAAGAGGGAGACAGGCAGCGGUGGGAGAGUGGGGGACAGAGAAACACUGCGGUACAAGCCCCUACCGGCAUUUAGUUAUGGAUCCCUGGGUGCGUCUUCGAGUUCGCAUGCCAUUCUCGCCGCCGCCUUGGUCUCUGCACUCUGUCAUCCGCGCGGGGACUCGGCUGGGCCGGGUUCAUGACUGGACGCUCGAUGGACACCUCAGUUGUGGAGCAGGGGCCCGGCUCCUGCGCUCUCCGCCAGGCCUGUGACUGACUGCUGAUGCGGUAGCUCCAUCCUUGGCUGCAUCCGUGGCCCGGGGAAAGCGGACUGAGCUUCUGCAAACAGCAGCAUCUGCAGGCGUGGUGAUGCGGCCGGCCGGGGUCAGGGCUCUGUAAACGUCGGGCCCACCCGGAGCGGUCGGGGAUGCCCGGGCGCUCGGGACCGCUGGAACUCCGCUGGAGCCGCCAGGGACCAAGCCUGCGCGCUCGGCACCGCACCUCCGGCUCAGAACCAACGGGACGAGUCGCCCCUAGCAACAGCAGCCGGCACUCGCUCCCGCCGCGCUGAUUGGCG
Molecule: long non-coding RNA, 3246 nt
Filed under: Cricetulus griseus (Chinese hamster)
Lineage: Eukaryota; Metazoa; Chordata; Mammalia; Rodentia; Cricetidae
Description: lncRNA (ENSCGRG00015036866.1)
Source: RNAcentral